This 691-nucleotide ribosomal RNA is filed under the name uncultured bacterium. RNAcentral's name for it is "bacterial SSU rRNA". It matches the Rfam family "Bacterial small subunit ribosomal RNA", at positions 32 to 715 of the family's 1533-position model. The record is from RNAcentral.
AACGCUAGCUACAGGCUUAACACAUGCAAGUCGAGGGGCAGCAUUGGAGUAGCAAUACUUCAGAUGGCGACCGGCGCACGGGUGAGUAACACGUAUCCAACCUGCCGCUUACUCGGGGAUAGCCUUUCGAAAGAAAGAUUAAUACCCGAUGGUAUAAAGAGUUCGCAUGUUCUCUUUAUUAAAGAAUUUCGGUAAGCGAUGGGGAUGCGUUCCAUUAGAUAGUAGGCGGGGUAACGGCCCACCUAGUCGACGAUGGAUAGGGGUUCUGAGAGGAAGGUCCCCCACAUUGGAACUGAGACACGGUCCAAACUCCUACGGGAGGCAGCAGUGAGGAAUAUUGGUCAAUGGGCGCGAGCCUGAACCAGCCAAGUAGCGUGAAGGAUGAAGGUCCUACGGAUUGUAAACUUCUUUUAUAAGGGAAUAAAGUCACCCACGUGUGGGUGUUUGUAUGUACCUUAUGAAUAAGCAUCGGCUAACUCCGUGCCAGCAGCCGCGGUAAUACGGAGGAUGCGAGCGUUAUCCGGAUUUAUUGGGUUUAAAGGGAGCGUAGACGGGUCGUUAAGUCAGCUGUGAAAGUUUACGGCUCAACCGUGAAAUUGCAGUUGAUACUGUAUGUCUUGAGUGUACAAGAGGUGGGCGGAAUUCGUGGUGUAGCGGUGAAAUGCUUAGAUAUCACGAAGAACUCCGAUUG